GCUCUGGUAGCACAGUGGUUAAAGCUCUCGGCUGCUAACUGAGAGGCUGAUGGUUCAAACCCACCAGCU
Molecule: transfer RNA, 69 nt
Filed under: Loxodonta africana (African savanna elephant)
Lineage: Eukaryota; Metazoa; Chordata; Mammalia; Proboscidea; Elephantidae
Rfam family: tRNA
About the family: Transfer RNA (tRNA) molecules are approximately 80 nucleotides in length.
Source: Rfam by way of RNAcentral